This 734-nucleotide long non-coding RNA is filed under the name Mytilus galloprovincialis (Mediterranean mussel). The record is from RNAcentral. Lineage: Eukaryota; Metazoa; Mollusca; Bivalvia; Mytilida; Mytilidae.
GGUGGCAUUCUUUGGGCCACUCUACCCCCUCCUGUUUGAUAACUUGGAAACGGUCGAGCUCCCCACCCCUAAACCAUAUGAGGGGCAGAUCCAGGAUUUUAGGUUAGGAAGGGUGCAAACUUAAAUUUUCGCCGAGCAGAGCGAGGCUAAAAAAAAUUUGAGGUAAAAUUAUCGGAAUAUUCUUUAUUAAGCUGAGAACAACCCAUGCUUUGCAAAUUUAAGGGGGGUGCAACCAUAUAUAUUCAUGUUUGUGACAAUAUGAAAAAUCAAAUGAAAUAUAGAAAGAGUCGCUGGGGGUCACCCCACCCUUCCUGUUUUAGAAUUUAAAAAUGGUCCAGAUCCCCACCCCUAAACCAUAUAUAUUCAUGUAUGGGACAAUAUAACAAAUCAGAUGAAAUAUAGGGGAGUCCCUUGGGUCACCCCACCCCCUCCUGUUUGAGAAUUUGAAACCCGUUGAGAUCGCCACCCCUUAACCAUAUAUUCAUGUACGGGACAAUAUAACAAUUCAAAUGAAAGAUAGGGGAGUCCCUGAGGUCACUGUACACCCUCCUGUUUGAGAACUUGGAAAUGGUCAAAAUCCUUAUCCCUACACCAUAUAUACUCAUGUAUGGGACAAUAUAACAAAUCAAAUAAAAUAUAGGGGAAGUCCCUGUGGUCACCCCAACCCUCCUGUUUGAGAACUUGGAAACGGUUGAGAUCCCCACACCAAAACAAUAUAUAUUCAUGUAUGGGCC